Molecule: ribosomal RNA, 260 nt
Filed under: uncultured Glomus
Lineage: Eukaryota; Fungi; Glomeromycota; Glomeromycetes; Glomerales; Glomeraceae
Description: partial 18S ribosomal RNA
Rfam family: Eukaryotic small subunit ribosomal RNA
Source: RNAcentral
AAGCUCGUAGUUGAAUUUCGGGGUUAGUAGGUUGGUCAUGCCUCUGGUAUGUACUGGUCUCACUGAUUCCUCCUUCCUUAUGAACCGUAAUGCCAUUAAUUUGGUGUUGCGGGGAAUUUGGACUGUUAUUUUGAAAAAAUUAGAGUGUUUAAAAGCAAGCUAACGCUUGAAUACAUUAGCAUGGAAUAAUGAAAUAGGACGUUCGAUCUUAUUUUGUUGGUUUCUAGGUAUUGACGUAAUGAUUAAUAGGGAUAGUUGGG